CACGUCUCUUCCUCGUCCCUAUCCAUUCUCUCUCCCUCUCUCGUAUGCGACCGCCUUCCUCAACCGAAGCUGCAGCUCCUUCUUCAUUCGAUUUUUCUCUCUGCCGUGUCUUCAUCCUUCGCCAGCAUCAUCAUCAAUUCCUUCCCCCACUCACAGGAAUCCACCUCCACCGAAGUCUUCGCUCAACGCCACACGCCUGUUUUCCUUUCCGCCGAUCAACUAUGGCAACUUGUGCCCACGUUGUUGACCCCAAAACCCCACCAAUUCUCCACCUUGCUGCCACACCGAAGUAACUCCACCGACUCUUGUCACCAGCACACUCUUCCGGUCAACAAACCUAUGCACGAAGCCUCUUGUUGACCCUACAGUAGCCGGUUUCGUCCACGCGUCUUCCUCAGUCUCGCGUCUCCAUCUUUUACUGCCAGCAUCGCCCGAAACUGCUUCUCUCUCUCCAUCAUCCUUGCAUCUUCAGUCCUCGAAUCCAGCUCGUGUCUUCGGCAAGUAAACGCCAGCGACGUCGUCCACGCUCGAGCGACACCAGCAGCUCCUGCACGCCUUCUUGUUCGGCCCAUCCCACCGAAGCAGCCCAACUUCCAGUCCAUUUGAGGCCCGUGUCAGCAGCCCAAGAGGUCAGCGAAGCCCAGCAGUUCUUUUAUUGUUCGGCCCAGUAGUCCAGCCUUUGAAGCCCACGGAUCCAGCGAAUUCUUCAGCCCAGUGAUUUUCAGUCCAUCUCCAGCAGAUCCAGCAGCCCAAGCCCGCGAGGUCAGCCGCUUCAAGCCCGGCCCGUUUCAAAAAAAAAACAAAUCUCAGAUUUGAGCUGAGAUUUAUUGGGCCCGUUUUAGGCCCGGCCCGAGUGUUCGCCGACGCCGCUGAAAAUUCGGAUUUCGGCCGUCGUCGCGGUGUACCGGUUUCCACAAUUAACCAGGUCGUCGAGUGGAGGACCUAGAGGACCUGGAGCUGAGAGGAGGUGAUCGAAAGCGUAAGUCACUUAGGACUGCUUCUUUUGGAAGGCUAGUCUUUUGUAGUCUUUUAGCGAUAAACUUUUGUACAUGACUCAAUGUAUAUAUAAAAGCAUGUUUGUUUCGUGAAUUCGUAUCAUGCUUUUCUAUCUUUAGAUGAUUACUGUCAGGGGAUUUUUUUUCGCUUCUACAUGUGCAAAAAAAUGGAAAGGGUCGGCGACUCAUCCUGGGAAGUCAUAAAAUUUUAUCGACCAGAGAGAGAUGGGCACGCGCUCAAGUUUGAGGCGUGACAAAAAAAGUGAGGAACCUUUUACAUUGGAUGUCGCAUAGCCAAUCCUAAAGGAAGGCCCAUCUUUGUGCAAGUGGUCAUGCAUGACGUUUCUGCAGAAGUCGACAAGUGACUAAAUUGCCUCUUUCAAUGAUGGUCCUACAGCUUGCAGGCUUGACGAAGACGUAAGAGAUCAUGUAAUCUCGACUAGAAGACGUACCUAUUCCUCUCAUCUUUCGGGUCGCCAUAUAAGCAAUAUUUGAGUGGAAAGAAAUCCAACUUGUCUUUCUCUCGUCCCCCCCAAAACCCCUCCUUAUAUAUUUGUCCCAGCUUUGAAGUCUUUAAACAAACCUCAGCUUUCAAAAGUCAACAGCGUCUCUACUAAAUCUUUCUCGCGCUUCACCGGCCUCAUUCCUAUAUACGUUCUUGUUUGCAGAAAGUUCUCCUGUGUGGCCAAAUGGGUAGUGAAAGCCAUCAGCUUCACAUUUUCUUCUUCCCUUUCAUGGCUCCGGGCCACAUGAUCCCAAUGAUCGACAUGGCCAAAAUGUUCGCCAUGAGAGGCUGCAAGUCCACCCUCAUCGCCACCCCCCAUGACGAGCCCACCUUCUUGAGAUCUAUCGCGAAAACCAAGGAUUCGGGCUUUGACAUCAAUGUCGUCACGGUGACAUUGCCCCUGAAAGACGUCGGCUUGCCAGAAGACUGCGGCAGUCUGAGCAAGAUCACUACGAUGGAAAUGCGCAUGACGUUCAUAAGAGCUGUCAUGAUGCUCGACCGACAGAUCGAGCUGCUGAUAGAGAAACUCGCCCCCGAUUGUCUGAUCUCAGACAUAUUCCUCCCCUGGACAACCGAGACCGCAGCCAAGUUCGGCAUUCCUAGGCUCGUUUUCCAUGGGACGAGUGCCUUCUCCAUGGCGGGGACAGAAUGUGUGAGGCUCUAUCAGCCUCACAAGAAGGUGUCCUGCGAUUCAGAGCCCUUCAUCAUCCCCAACUUCCCCGGAGAAAUCACAUUAUGCAGGAUGCAAAUGCAGGACUUUGUCAAUGAAGAGAACGAGUUAACCAAGUUCGUCAACGUGAUGAAGGAUUCGGAGAAGACUUGCUUUGGAGUCGUCAUGAACAGCUUCUACGAGCUCGAGCCGGCUUACGCUGACCAUUACAGGACAUUCCUCGGGAUACGAUCCUGGUUUGUCGGCCCGCUUUCGCUGUGCAAUAAGGAGACUGAGGACAAAGCACAUAGAGGCAACGAAGCAUCCAUUGUCCAGCACAAGUGCCUCAAGUGGCUUGACUCGAAGUAACCCACCUCAGUGAUCUACAUUUGCUUCGGAAGCAUGACGAAUUUCAAUGCUGCUCAGCUCCACGAGAUCGCUGUCGGACUAGAAGCAUCAGGGCAACAGUUCAUCUGGGUGGUAAAGAAGGACCCUAAUGCGGAAGAGGGCAAAGAAGAGUGGUUGCCUGAUGGGUACGAAUCAAGAAUCCGAAACAAGGGCCUCAUCAUCAGGGGCUGGGCUCCUCAGGCGCUGAUUCUCGAUCAUGAGGCGACUGGGGGGUUUGUGACACAUUGCGGGUGGAACUCAAUCCUGGAGGCGGUCGCAGCCGGUGUGCCAAUGGUGACAUGGCCGGUUGCAGCAGAGCAAUUCUACAAUGAGAAGCUCGUGACCCAAGUGCUCAAGAUUGGGGUCGACAUUGGGGUGAAGCAGGGGGUCAUCCCGUUUGGCGACAGCGUGAAAAGCGAGAGAGUGGAGGAGGCAGUGAAGAGAGUCCUGGUGGGUGAGGAAGCAGAGGAAAUAAGAAGGAGAGCGAAAGCACUUGCAGAGAUGGCGAGAGGAGCCGUGGAAGAAGGUGGGUCUUCUUGGUCUGAUUUGGGUGCUCUGAUUCAAGAGCUCAAAUCGCACAGAUUGGCUCACACUAAGAAGAUCUGAUUCAUGACCUGGAGCAAUCAAUCUUGAACUUUUGCUUCAAGAGAAUACAACUGAAGAAAUGGAAGUCUUCUUUUCUGUUUCUGUUGUGGUUUCGCAGUAGAGAGAAAUGCUGGAUUUGCUGCUUCUUUUCAUGGGAUUUAUUCCAGCAAUGUUAUGAUCAUUUAAUGUGUAGGAUGUGAGUUCGUUUAUUUAGCUCUCGAAUUCUUUUGUGCCGAUGAAAUUAAAGUCCGUCUCCUGGUUUACAAUCUCAA
Eucalyptus grandis is the source of this 3393-nucleotide RNA transcript. It is a transcript of the gene named scopoletin glucosyltransferase-like, with no coding region annotated. Lineage: Eukaryota; Viridiplantae; Streptophyta; Magnoliopsida; Myrtales; Myrtaceae. The record is from RefSeq and is a predicted model, not a curated record. The transcript has 2 exons.